CAGCACCUCAAGUGGUCAGGAUGAUUAUUGGGCCUAAAGCAUCCGUAGCCGGCCCUGUAAGUUUUCGGUUAAAUCUGUACGCUCAACGUACAGGCUGCCGGGAAUACUGCAGAGCUAGGGAGUGGGAGAGGUAGACGGUACUCGGUAGGAAGGGGUAAAAUCCUUUGAUCUAUUGAUGACCACCUGUGGCGAAGGCGGUCUACCAGAACACGUCCGACGGUGAGGGAUGAAAGCUGGGGGAGCAAACCGGAUUAGAUACCCGAGUAGUCC
Molecule: ribosomal RNA, 270 nt
Filed under: uncultured archaeon
Lineage: Archaea
Description: partial 16S ribosomal RNA
Rfam family: Archaeal small subunit ribosomal RNA
Source: RNAcentral